ACCUGCAGAAAAAAGCACCGGCUAACUACGUGCCAGCAGCCGCGGUAAUACGUAGGGUGCAAGCGUUGUCCCGGAAUUAUUGGGCGUAAAGAGCUCGUAGGCGGUUUGUCGCGUCUGCUGUGAAAUCCCGAGGCUCAACCUCGGGUCUGCAGUGGGUACGGGCAGACUAGAGUGCGGUAGGGGAGAUUGGAAUUCCUGGUGUAGCGGUGGAAUGCGCAGAUAUCAGGAGGAACACCGAUGGCGAAGGCAGAUCUCUGGGCCGUAACUGACGCUGAGGAGCGAAAGCAUGGGGAGCGAACAGGAUUAGAUACCCUGGUAGUCCAUGCCGUAAACGUUGGGAACUAGAUGUGGGGACCAUUCCACGGUCUCCGUGUCGCAGCUAACGCAUUAAGUUCCCCGCCUGGGGAGUACGGCCGCAAGGCUAAAACUCAAAGGAAUUGACGGGGGCCCGCACAAGCGGCGGAGCAUGCGGAUUAAUUCGAUGCAACGCGAAGAACCUUACCAAGGCUUGACAUAUACCGGAAACAUGCAGAGAUGUGUGCCCCGCAAGGUCGGUAUACAGGUGGUGCAUGGUUGUCGUCAGCUCGUGUCGUGAGAUGUUGGGUUAAGUCCCGCAACGAGCGCAACCCUCGUUCUAUGUUGCCAGCACGUAAUGGUGGGAACUCAUAGGAGACUGCCGGGGUCAACUCGGAGGAAGGUGGGGAUGACGUCAAAUCAUCAUGCCCCUUAUGUCUUGGGCUUCACGCAUGCUACAAUGGCCGGUACAAAGGGCUGCGAUACCGCAAGGUGGAGCGAAUCCCAAAAAGCCGGUCUCAGUUCGGAUUGAGGUCUGCAACUCGACCUCAUGAAGUCGGAGUCGCUAGUAAUCGCAGAUCAGCAACGCUGCGGUGAAUACGUUCCCGGGCCUUGUACACACCGCCCGUCAAGUCAUGAAAGUCGGUAACACCCGAAGCCAGUGGCCUAACCGCAAGGAAG
This 975-nucleotide ribosomal RNA is filed under the name Clavibacter michiganensis. RNAcentral describes it as "bacterial SSU rRNA". It matches the Rfam family "Bacterial small subunit ribosomal RNA", at positions 476 to 1449 of the family's 1533-position model. The record is from RNAcentral. Lineage: Bacteria; Bacillati; Actinomycetota; Actinomycetes; Micrococcales; Microbacteriaceae.